Molecule: long non-coding RNA, 843 nt
Filed under: Homo sapiens (human)
Lineage: Eukaryota; Metazoa; Chordata; Mammalia; Primates; Hominidae
Description: non-protein coding LINC00905:15
Source: RNAcentral
GCCUCCUCGCAGUGUUGCUGGGCCACGUCAGGAAGUGCUGGAGGACGUGGCAUUGCACCAACACCAGGCGGCCAGCCGUGUGGCUCAUCCCGCAAAUCAGGCUCUUCCUGUGCAUGGAGAUGGAGUCCCUCUGGAGGCAGCCCGUGGCCCUGUUCUCGGGCAGGUGGAGCAUGGAGACGACUGGGAACUUCACUAGACACGCAUCCAGCCGGUUCAAGGGCUUGUCGCGCCGUGCACCAGCUUGCAGGAGAAAGCCCAACGCCUCGCCAAGCACGAAGGCCUCCCUUCCCGACUUGAUGAAGGCAGAGUAGCGGUUGAGGUUGCGGCUCACAGUGACCGAGCUCCUGCCCACGUGGGGACCCAGGGAGCCGUCGAGCUCCAGGUAUGCACCUCUGCCCAGUGCACCUGGAUCGUUCACCGUCAUGGAGCUGCCAUCCCACUUGUCGUCCCAGUCAUCAUCACUGCCCUAGCUGGCCUAGUUGCCACCAAGGAGCUGCUGAGGCCACGGCUUCAGGGCAUCCCUACCGCCUGGAAAUCCUGCGCUGGCUGCUGGAAGGCACUCUGUGGUGGCACCAGCUGCGGCUGCAGUAGCAGCUGGAAAGCACUGAGAGAUGGCUUCAAGGAGGCAGGCAGUGCACCGGGCAGGGCCUUGAAACCUCUGGGUGGUACAAUGGCCAUGGCACAGUGGGUCAAGGCACAGGGGCAGCCAUGGCGCGCUGGGCCAGUCCAGGGUUGCAGACCACUUGCACUGCAGAUAUAAGGCCAGGGUUGCUGAGGCCAUGAGCCCCUGCGAGUCAGCCCUUGAUGUCCUGCUCACUACACAGGCUCAGCACUUCAUGUUCU